CCUGAACGCUGGCGGCGUGGCUAAGACAUGCAAGUCGAACGGUCCCGAGCAAUCGGGACAGUGGCGGACGGGUGAGUAAUGUAUCGCUAACGUGCCCCGAUCACAGGGAUAGCUGCCCGAAAGGGCAGGUAAUACCUGAUGACAUACCUUUAUCGCAUGGUGGAGGUCUCAAAGGAGCAAUCCGGAACGGGAGCGGGCGAUAUCGUAUCAGCUUGUUGGUGAGGUAACGGCUCACCAAGGCGACGACGCGUAGCCGGACUGAGAGGUUGGCCGGCCA
This 277-nucleotide ribosomal RNA is filed under the name uncultured bacterium. RNAcentral describes it as "partial 16S ribosomal RNA". It matches the Rfam family "Bacterial small subunit ribosomal RNA", at positions 30 to 310 of the family's 1533-position model. The record is from RNAcentral.